Molecule: ribosomal RNA, 440 nt
Filed under: uncultured bacterium
Lineage: Bacteria
Description: partial 16S ribosomal RNA
Rfam family: Bacterial small subunit ribosomal RNA
Source: RNAcentral
CCUACGGUGUGCUGCAGUGGGGAAUAUUGCACAAUGGGGGAAACCCUGAUGCAGCGACGCCGCGUGAGUGAAGAAGUAUUUCGGUACGUAAAGCUCUAUCAGCAGGGAAGAAAAUGACGGUACCUGACUAAGAAGCCCCGGCUAACUACGUGCCAGCAGCCGCGGUAAUACGUAGGGGGCAAGCGUUAUCCGGAUUUACUGGGUGUAAAGGGAGCGUAGACGGCAGCGCAAGUCUGGAGUGAAAUCCCAUGGCUUAACCAUGGAACUGCUUUGGAAACUGUGCAGCUAGAGUGCAGGAGAGGUAAGCGGAAUUCCUAGUGUAGCGGUGAAAUGCGUAGAUAUUAGGAGGAACACCAGUGGCGAAGGCAGCUCACUGGACUGCAACUGACACUGAGGCUCGAAAGUGUGGGUAUCAAACAGGAUUAGAUACCCGAGUAGUC